CCUACGGGCGGCUGCAGUGGGGAAUAUUGGACAAUGGGGGCAACCCUGAUCCAGCCAUGCCGCGUGUGUGAAGAAGGCCCUCGGGUUGUAAAGCACUUUCAGUGAGGAAGAACGCCUGGUGGUUAAUACCCAUCAGGAAAGACAUCACUCACAGAAGAAGCACCGGCUAACUCCGUGCCAGCAGCCGCGGUAAUACGGAGGGUGCGAGCGUUAAUCGGAAUUACUGGGCGUAAAGCGCGCGUAGGUGGCUUGAUAAGCCGGUUGUGAAAGCCCCGGGCUCAACCUGGGAACGGCAUCCGGAACUGGCAGGCUAGAGUGCAGGAGAGGAAGGUAGAAUUCCCGGUGUAGCGGUGAAAUGCGUAGAGAUCGGGAGGAAUACCAGUGGCGAAGGCGGCCUUCUGGACUGACACUGACACUGAGGUGCGAAAGCGUGGGUAGCAAACAGGAUUAGAUACCCUUGUAGUC
This 465-nucleotide ribosomal RNA is filed under the name Vreelandella stevensii. Its description in RNAcentral is "partial 16S ribosomal RNA". It matches the Rfam family "Bacterial small subunit ribosomal RNA", at positions 338 to 795 of the family's 1533-position model. The record is from RNAcentral. Lineage: Bacteria; Pseudomonadati; Pseudomonadota; Gammaproteobacteria; Oceanospirillales; Halomonadaceae.